Molecule: long non-coding RNA, 549 nt
Filed under: Mus musculus (house mouse)
Lineage: Eukaryota; Metazoa; Chordata; Mammalia; Rodentia; Muridae
Description: small nucleolar RNA host gene 12
Source: RNAcentral
CCUUUCUCGCUUCAUCCGCGGUCCCUGUCUGUUUUCGUUAUGGCGCCUUGUACUUCUACCCAACGUUGCCCGCCCCCCAUCUUCCCAGCCCACCAGCUCCGUCCGCCUCUCCGGAUGAUUCGUGAGAUACCGAGCCUGCCGGGAAGGGACCGGAUUUUUCCGUCUGGUCCAAGGAAGCACGGGUUAUGGCCACAUGCGCAGUGAUAACUCAGGGCCCCACGCCUUUUGACCCCUGUUGAUGAAGAUUGUGAGGAGGGAGACCAGAAGAUAAUGGACAACGAUACAGCAGAAGGGUCUGGGCCAUGUAACCAGUGAAGCAGCCAUUAUAUAUGAUUUGGUCUACACUUGUUGGAAAAAUUCCACAAGAGGAUCUCCUGGAAGCUAGCAGAAGUUUUUGGCUUGUACAUUGCCAGGCAGCCAUUGGAAUCGGAGCUGCAGUCAGAUUAAGGCCAGCCUGGCCUACAUUGAGAAACCUCAUUUUGGGAAAGUGAAAUACUUUGUCAAUUAACAUGCAGUUGGUUCAAUAAAGACUUUUGGAAAGUGUCCUCU